Non-coding RNA from Gymnothorax javanicus (giant moray), 72 nucleotides. The record is from the annotation of a GenBank genome assembly. Lineage: Eukaryota; Metazoa; Chordata; Actinopteri; Anguilliformes; Muraenidae.
GGCACAGUGGUGCAGUGGUGAGUGCUGUUGCCUGGUGAUAAAGAGGUUCUGGGUUUGAGUCUCAGCUGGCUG